AACGCUAGCUACAGGCUUAACACAUGCAAGUCGAGGGGCAGCAUGAACUUAGCUUGCUAAGUUUGAUGGCGACCGGCGCACGGGUGAGUAACGCGUAUCCAACCUUCCGUUUACUCAGGGAUAGCCUUUCGAAAGAAAGAUUAAUACCUGAUGGUAUGGUAAGAUUGCAUGAUAAUACCAUUAAAGAUUUAUCGGUAAACGAUGGGGAUGCGUUCCAUUAGGUAGUAGGCGGGGUAACGGCCCACCUAGCCGACGAUGGAUAGGGGUUCUGAGAGGAAGGUCCCCCACAUUGGAACUGAGACACGGUCCAAACUCCUACGGGAGGCAGCAGUGAGGAAUAUUGGUCAAUGGGCGAGAGCCUGAACCAGCCAAGUAGCGUGAAGGAUGAAGGUUCUAUGGAUUGUAAACUUCUUUUAUAAGGGAAUAACAGACGCUACGUGUAGCGUUUUGCAUGUACCUUAUGAAUAAGCAUCGGCUAACUCCGUGCCAGCAGCCGCGGUAAUACGGAGGAUGCGAGCGUUAUCCGGAUUUAUUGGGUUUAAAGGGAGCGUAGAUGGGCUGUUAAGUCAGCUGUGAAAGUUUGGGGCUCAACCUUAAAAUUGCAGUUGAUACUGGCGUCCUUGAGUGCGGUUGAGGUGUGCGGAAUUCGUGGUGUAGCGGUGAAAUGCUUAGAUAUCACGAAGAACUCCGAUUG
Molecule: ribosomal RNA, 694 nt
Filed under: uncultured Bacteroides sp.
Lineage: Bacteria; Pseudomonadati; Bacteroidota; Bacteroidia; Bacteroidales; Bacteroidaceae
Description: bacterial SSU rRNA
Rfam family: Bacterial small subunit ribosomal RNA
Source: RNAcentral